This 486-nucleotide ribosomal RNA is filed under the name uncultured Methanosarcina sp. RNAcentral's name for it is "bacterial SSU rRNA". It matches the Rfam family "Archaeal small subunit ribosomal RNA", at positions 419 to 903 of the family's 1478-position model. The record is from RNAcentral. Lineage: Archaea; Methanobacteriati; Methanobacteriota; Methanomicrobia; Methanosarcinales; Methanosarcinaceae.
GUAAAAUACAUCUGUUAGCAAGGCCGGGCGAAGACCGGUGCCAGCCGCCGCGGUAACACCGGCGGCCCGAGUGGUGAUCGUGAUUAUUGGGUCUAAAGGGUCCGUAGCCGGUUUGGUCAGUCCUCCGGGAAAUCUGAUAGCUCAACUAUUAGGCUUUCGGGGGAUACUGCCAGACUUGGAACCGGGAGAGGUAAGAGGUACUACAGGGGUAGGAGUGAAAUCUUGUAAUCCCUGUGGGACCACCUGUGGCGAAGGCGUCUUACCAGAACGGGUUCGACGGUGAGGGACGAAAGCUGGGGGCACGAACCGGAUUAGAUACCCGGGUAGUCCCAGCCGUAAACGAUGCUCGCUAGGUGUCAGACAUGGCGCGACCGUGUCUGGUGCCGCAGGGAAGCCGUGAAGCGAGCCACCUGGGAAGUACGGCCGCAAGGCUGAAACUUAAAGGAAUUGGCGGGGGAGCACAACAACGGGUGGAGCCUGCGGUUU